RNAcentral lists this long non-coding RNA (964 nucleotides) under Selaginella moellendorffii. RNAcentral's name for it is "long non-coding RNA (SMOE_LNC002409)". The record is from RNAcentral. Lineage: Eukaryota; Viridiplantae; Streptophyta; Lycopodiopsida; Selaginellales; Selaginellaceae.
GAAAACAAACACAUGAGUUACUACAUUGUAAGGAAAUGAGUGGAACUUAAGGUCAUGUCUUUAUUAUGUUAAAUUGUUUAUGAACUUAUAUCAAUAAUCAUGGUGUAGGAGCUGGGCCUGGUGCUGAUGCUGGUGAUUCUGGUGGUGGUGUUGGUGAAAGUGAAGGUGCUGGUGUUGGUGAUGGUGGUGGCGGUGGCGGUGGUGGGGGAGGUUGUGUUCUUGGUGGUGGUGGAGGAGGUGUUCUUGGUGGUGGUGGCGGAGGUUUUCUUGGAGGUGGUGGUGGACGAGUUCUUGGAGGUGGGGGAGGAGGGGUUCUUGGCGGUGGUGGUGGUGGUGUUCUCGGUGGUGGUGGUGGAGGAGUUCUAGGUGGUGGUGGUGGAGGAGUUCUAGGUGGGGGUGGGGGUGGUCUUCUAGGGGGUGGUGGUGGUGGUUUUCUAGGUGGUGGUGGUGAAGCUUUUGGUGGUGGUGGUGGUGGAGGUGGAGAAUUUGGUGGUGGUGGAGGUGAACAAGCAUUUGGAGUAAAAUAAUAGGGUCCACAAGUGAACUUAUUAUUUCCAUUAUUGGUGCAUGUGCUUAAAGAUUGGCCACUUGAUCCACCAUUUAUGUCUGUUAAGAAAGAACACCCUCGGGGUGCUCUACUUGUAUCCACACUCACUCGACAACUCCCAAUAUCUGUUCCAGUUUUCACUAAUUCAAAGAUAUUAAAGUAUCCUUUACUAUUUGUAAAUGAUGAAUCACUGUCUCCUGGACAAACCAGGUUUACCUUGGCAUCUGAAAGAUUUAACAAGAUUAGAAAAAUACAGAAGAUAGAUAAUUAUUCUUACUGAAGAUGCCACUCUGAGAGAGUGAACCACAGUUAGUACAAUAAACAUAGCCAUCCACUUUGAUACUUGUAGUGGCAACACAAAAAUUCUCAUUUUUCAGAAUGAUUGCAAGUAAUAAAAUUAAAUAGAGAAAUGUUUUG